AGAACGAACGCUGGCGGCGUGGAUAAGACAUGCAAGUCGAGCGGAACUAGUUUUGUAGCAAUACAGAACUAGUUUAGCGGCGAACGGGUGCGUAACACGUGAGAACCUGCCCAAAAAGAGGGGGAUAGCCCGCCGAAAGGCGGAUUAAUACCGCAUAUUAACAAAGCAGCAAUGCACUUUUGGAUGGGCUCGCGGCCUAUCAGCUAGAUGGUGAGGUAACGGCUCACCAUGGCGAUGACGGGUAGCUGGUCUGAGAGGACGACCAGCCACACUGGGACUGAGACACGGCCCAGACACCUACGGGUGGCAGCAGUCGAGAAUUUUUUCACAAUGGGGGAAACCCUGAUGGAGCGACGCCGCGUGGAGGAUGAAGGUUUUCGGAUUGUAAACUCCUGUCAUGAGAGAACAAACCCGCAAGGGCUUGAUAGUACCUCAAGAGGAAGGGACGGCUAACUCUGUGCCAGCAGCCGCGGUAA
Molecule: ribosomal RNA, 476 nt
Filed under: uncultured bacterium
Lineage: Bacteria
Description: SSU rRNA
Rfam family: Bacterial small subunit ribosomal RNA
Source: RNAcentral